Molecule: small nucleolar RNA, 120 nt
Filed under: Echinops telfairi (small Madagascar hedgehog)
Lineage: Eukaryota; Metazoa; Chordata; Mammalia; Afrosoricida; Tenrecidae
Description: Small nucleolar RNA SNORA61 (ENSETEG00000024570.1)
Source: RNAcentral
GCCCUCCAGAUCCCUUACCCACCAGACCCAAGCACGUUCGCACUGGUCAUAAAAGGAGGGACAGUGACAGUGGCGCUGACUUCAAUUCUUUUGCGACACACAAGCUAGUUUCAAACAAAA